GUUGGCGAGGAAGCAGAAAACUUAUCACUUUUGUAUUCUGAUGAUGACAAUGAUGGUGCUGGU
Molecule: small RNA, 63 nt
Filed under: Salix viminalis (osier)
Lineage: Eukaryota; Viridiplantae; Streptophyta; Magnoliopsida; Malpighiales; Salicaceae
Source: RNAcentral